CCUACGGGACGCAGCAGUGGGGAAUAUUGGGCAAUGGGCGCAAGCCUGACCCAGCAACGCCGCGUGAAGGAAGAAGGCUUUCGGGUUGUAAACUUCUUUUCUCAGGGACGAAUAGAUGACGGUACCUGAGGAAUAAGCCACGGCUAACUACGUGCCAGCAGCCGCGGUAAUACGUAGGUGGCAAGCGUUAUCCGGAUUUACUGGGUGUAAAGGGCGUGUAGGCGGGGACGCAAGUCAGAUGUGAAAACCACGGGCUCAACCUGUGGCCUGCAUUUGAAACUGUGUUUCUUGAGUACUGGAGAGGC
Molecule: ribosomal RNA, 305 nt
Filed under: uncultured bacterium
Lineage: Bacteria
Description: bacterial SSU rRNA
Rfam family: Bacterial small subunit ribosomal RNA
Source: RNAcentral